UGAGGAAUAUUGGUCAAUGGGCGGAAGCCUGAACCAGCCAAGUAGCGUGCAGGAAGACGGCCCUAUGGGUUGUAAACUGCUUUUAUACGAGAAUAAUUUGAUGCACGUGUGCGUUAUUGCAUGUAUCGUAUGAAUAAGGACCGGCUAAUUCCGUGCCAGCAGCCGCGGUAAUACGGAAGGUCCAGGCGUUAUCCGGAUUUAUUGGGUUUAAAGGGAGUGUAGGCGGUUUGUUAAGCGUGUUGUGAAAUUUAGGUGCUCAACAUUUAACUUGCAGCGCGAACUGUCAGACUUGAGUACACGCAACGUAUGCGGAAUUCAUGGUGUAGCGGUGAAAUGCUUAGAUAUCAUGAAGAACUCCGAUUGCGAAGGCAGCAUACGGGAGUGUAACUGACGCUUAAGCUCGAAGGUGCGGGUAUCGAACAGGAUUAGAUACCCUGGUAGUCCGCACAGUAAACGAUGGAUGCCCGCUGUUAGCGCCUGGCGUUAGCGGCUAAGCGAAAGCAUUAAGCAUCCCACCUGGGGAGUACGCCGGCCGGU
Molecule: ribosomal RNA, 537 nt
Filed under: uncultured bacterium
Lineage: Bacteria
Description: bacterial SSU rRNA
Rfam family: Bacterial small subunit ribosomal RNA
Source: RNAcentral